RNAcentral lists this long non-coding RNA (1194 nucleotides) under Lonchura striata (white-rumped munia). RNAcentral describes it as "domestica (Bengalese finch) lncRNA (ENSLSDG00000006626.1)". Lineage: Eukaryota; Metazoa; Chordata; Aves; Passeriformes; Estrildidae. The record is from RNAcentral.
CCCUCUCCAGUGCCAGCUACUGGGGCUGCGAGUUCCGGCUGUGUUCCCACAGAACCAUGACGGCUCCUCCAGUGCGUAGCUGCAGCUGCUGCUCACCUCCUGUGGCCCUGCUGACACUCAGGUGUCAGUGAUGCUCUACGAUGGCUCUGUCACCCAGAACAUCACCCUGAGGCCAAAUGUCACUGUGCCCUUGCCCCUCUCUGCUAACCUGGAACUCACUGGAAGCUGCACUUCCCAUAAAACCUUGGUGGUCCAGACGAGCACUGAUAUCUCAAUGAUGUCUGUCAGCACCAUGGGCUACACUGUGGGUGCCACUGCCCUCCUACCUGUGGAGAGCCUGGGCAACAGGUGAACAGCCACCGCUCACACCUCCCCAUCUCCUCCCAUGGGAAGCUCCACAUGCACCAGAAGGGUAAAUCCAUGCUGAUCCAGUCAAAUUUCAAGCUGAAAGUCCUCUACAAGUGGGAUGAUCAUGUAGUAAUCAAACUUCCAGCUGCUCUUUCUGGAAAAGUCUGCGGAAUGUGCAGGAACAACAGGGACCUCUGGGAUCAUGCACUCUGUCUUGAUGGUAAACAGCUCUCACUUGCCUGCCCAACAGCACCCACAGCCUGCCUCCCUACCUGCAACAUCCCCACUGUGUCAUCCCGCUGUUCCACUGUCAACACCUGCGUGGACACCUGUGUGGCCUUGAUGCCAACACCUGCGCUGCCCCCUCUGAAUGUGGCUGUGUCCUUCAAGGUCUCUUCUAUGGCCUUGGCGAGGAAUUUUGGAGUGACCUCACUUGCACCCAGCACUCUGCGUGUGAUGCGGAGCGGCGGCAGGCAGUGUGCCAGGAUUCUGGUUGUACCACUAAGGAGGAAUGCGAGGUGGAGUAGGGGAUCUAGGAUUGUUAUCCCAAAAUUUCUGCGGUCUGCACCACUGUUGGAGCCACUCACUAUGAGACCUUUAAUCAAAGGAGGUGUAUCUUCCAGGGGAUGUGUGUCUUACCUGCUGGUUGGGUUGUGUGAGGACACCCAAAAUUUGGUGGGAUUCCAGGUGUUGGUGCAGAAUGGCCACCAAAGUGACAACCUCACAUUGUCCAUUGCCGUGGUGACAGUUAAAAGUCUACAACAAAACCAUCAGCAUCAGCAGGAACAUCGUGGAAAAAUCAUGACUAAUGAGAGUUGUUUGCGGCGGUUUGGCAGAAGCUGCUGA